UUGACUCCGCCCAUAACAGAGGUUUUAAAAAGCUUAGCGCACUCCCAAUCUCAUCUCUAAGAAGACAGAGAAGAAGAAGCAGAAGAAGACUGACAGAGAGUUUUUGAGAGAAAGAGAGUUUUUCAACAUCAGAAGCCAGAAACAGCUUUCCAGAAGCUCAGCAGAGGCCCUGCCUGCCAGUCCCUCCCCAUGGGCUGGGCAGGAUGGAGGCCACUCUGCAUCUCCCGCUGGGUUGAACAAACAGCACCGUUUAAUUUCGACUCUACAUCUGAGUUUGAUUUUAUAGAAGUUAAAUAAGCUAAUUGUAAUUCAUGCGUCGUUUUUAGUUUGUUUUCUCUACAACGUUGAAAUCAAAUUAAGAAGUCUUGCAACCGCCUGGGGAGGACCAGACCAUGUUGUCACCAGGGAGUGACCCCCUUCUCUGACCAAGGGACCAGUUGAGUUUUACAGGCAGAUCGCCUGACAUCCAGCUUGCAUGAAGAAUCUACCAGGGAGACGACCCCCAGAGAUGACCUUCAACCACUGACUUCCCCUCCUGGUACCCACAUGGCGGAACAAAAGGGCGCAGCACACUGAUCCCCUGGAACAUGGGUGAGAGAGGGAUUGAAGAAGGUAAUUACACAAAACUCUGUAUCAACACCCGGAGAGAGAGCUGUCUGUCAGGAWCGCAGCACACAAACAGCAAACAAUGGACGGAACAGCUGAAAAGGCCACAGACGGUCUGCCUGACACGCUGGAGGGAGCAUAUUAACUAACUAAAUGAUGAUGUUUCUUAUCUGCGAGUCGCUCUGAAGAAAAUUAGAAAGAAAAAAGAAAUAGGCUUUCAUGGAAGAGAUGAAGACGCAGCCAGCCUUGAGACCACGACUUUGGCUCUGAAUCAUCCAAGGGCACAAGUACAAACGCUUAGAGUGAUUAUACAAAAAAAAAAAAAAAAAAAAA
Austrofundulus limnaeus is the source of this 939-nucleotide long non-coding RNA. RefSeq lists it as uncharacterized. The transcript is spliced from 2 exons. NCBI's taxonomy places the organism in Eukaryota, Metazoa, Chordata, Actinopteri, Cyprinodontiformes, Rivulidae. The record is from RefSeq and is a predicted model, not a curated record.